RNAcentral lists this long non-coding RNA (383 nucleotides) under Sinocyclocheilus grahami. RNAcentral's name for it is "lncRNA (ENSSGRG00000048924.1)". The record is from RNAcentral. Lineage: Eukaryota; Metazoa; Chordata; Actinopteri; Cypriniformes; Cyprinidae.
CUUUGUUCGCUGCUGGCUCUGCUUUGACUCCAUCUGCAAAUGGAAAGGUUUAAAAUCUUCCUUUGGACAGUGGCAGUGAGUCUACAAGUAACAUCUCAAGACAGCACUGGUGAACCGCCUGAACCAGAAAUCCGGUCUGAUUGGACAGAAGCGUUUCCUGGUGAAAAAGUGUCUUUGCAGUGUGUGAUUCAAGGUGUUUCAGAAAACUGGAAUUAUAUGUGGUUCAAGGACUCAAGAAAAAUCGUCUCCAGUGGUGAAACAAACAUACAAGGAAACACUCUCACACUCUCAGUGAAGUCCAGUCAUGACGGGGCCUAUAUGUGUCAAGCUGAGCUGCAGGGCAGAAAGGUGACGACUGCAAAAAGCAAACCACAUUUGUUAAA